Molecule: ribosomal RNA, 537 nt
Filed under: Betaeus granulimanus
Lineage: Eukaryota; Metazoa; Arthropoda; Malacostraca; Decapoda; Alpheidae
Description: partial 16S ribosomal RNA
Rfam family: Bacterial large subunit ribosomal RNA
Source: RNAcentral
GUCUGGGUGGAUAAUAUACUAAGUCUGACCUGCCCACUGAAAUUGUUUAAAGGGCUGCGGUAAUUUGACCGUGCGAAGGUAGCAUAAUCAAUAGUCUCUUAAUUGGAGGCUGGAAUGAACGGUCUAACAGGAAAAUAGCUGUCUCAGGGAGUUUAUACGAAUUUAACUUCUGUGUGAAAAGGCACAGAUAAUUUAGGGGGACGAUAAGACCCUAUAAAACUUAAUACAAGAAAGUUACAUUUAAGAAAUAGUUAGUAAAUUAAAAGAAAUUGAAUGUAUUGUGCUGGGGUGGCAAAGAUAAAAUAUUUAACUGUCUUUAAAAUUAAAUAAUGGUAAUUAGAUAGUGAUCCCUUACUAGGGAUUAUAAGAUUAAGUUACUUUAGGGAUAACAGCGUGAUUUCUUUUGAGAGUCCUUAUCGACAAAGUUAGUUGCGACCUCGAUGUUGAAUUAAAGUUUCCUCUAGGAGUAGGUAUUUAGAUGGUAGGUCUGUUCGACCUUUAAUAACUUUACAUGAUUUGAGUUCAAACCGGUGUGAG